This is a long non-coding RNA of Protopterus annectens (West African lungfish), 105 nucleotides long. RefSeq lists it as uncharacterized. The transcript is spliced from 2 exons. Lineage: Eukaryota; Metazoa; Chordata; Ceratodontiformes; Protopteridae. The record is from RefSeq and is a predicted model, not a curated record.
UCAACAAGUUAUAACAGUGCAGUAAAUGACCCCACACAAGAGUGCUAGGCCAAAGAUAGAUAAAAUGCAAGUUUUGAGAAAAAAACGAUUUUAAAAAUAAGUGCA